AAUAUAACUAUGAACAUUUUAUUAAACGAGAUUUGCCGAAAUGACUAUCACCAACGGACUACAUCUUUACUGACAUAUUGUUCAACGAGCUACAAAACAUCAUAUAUAUAGAGAACUAACCUAACCCUAAUAAGCAAGAAAACGAAACCCUAACACUAACGGGUUAUGCCCAGAAAACCAAACAUUCAAAUAAAUCAAAAUACUAAUAUUUUUCAACACCCCCCGUCAAACUUAUGGCGGUAUACGAUAUGGGUUUGCAAACAAGCAGAUGCGGACUGGCUCUGUUAGGCGACAGAUAGGCAGGUUCCGCAACGCGAACAGAUAGACAGACAGGCUCCGCAAUGCGGACAGGUAGACAGACAGGCUCCGCAAUGCGGACAGGUAGACAGGCAGAUAGGCAGGCUCUGCAAUACGGGCAGACAGAGCGAGCAAUCAAGCAAGGAAACGAACAAUCUAGGCUUCAAUCAACAAGGCCCAACUAAAAGCCUUCAAACAAAUCAUAAUAGCCCAACGGAUUGUGGGCUCCAUACUUUUUUCUUUUUUCCUUUUUCCUGUUUUCUUUUUCUAUUUUUUCCUUUCUUUUCCUUCUUCUUUCUUCGGUUCCAGUAGCAAAAUAGGCGAAAAACAUGUGCAAACCAACAUUCUGAACCAAGACUCCGAGGUGUGGUUGCAGCUUUCAGGCGAGGAAGCAAGUGACAGUUGCCAGAUUUCAGGCAAUGGGUGGAGGCGUGACUGGGUGGCUUGGCAGCGGGGUGGAUUCGAACGGCAGAUGUGCUGGGUGACGAUGCAGCGGAAGAUGUGCAGCAGGUCAGGGAACAAAGUAUCUGGAGUUGGGGUGGCAGCGGCAAUCGAAAACUGGUGUGGGUAUGGUUGUGGAUCUAGGAUCUAGUAGCGAUUCAGAACAAACCGGAGAGGAACCGACAAGGAACCGAGACAUACAAACAGAGACCAACAAACUGACAUGAACAGAGCAGAAGCAGAUUAAACCCGACGGUUCAAUCCUACUCUGAUAGCAAGUUGAAAUAAACGGACGAACAAACGAAAUAUAAUUAUGAACAUUUUAUUAAACGAGAUUCGCCGAAACGACUAUCACAAACUGACUACAUCUUUACUGACAUAUUGUUCAACGAGCAACAAAACAUCAUAUAUA
Molecule: long non-coding RNA, 1150 nt
Filed under: Malus domestica (apple)
Lineage: Eukaryota; Viridiplantae; Streptophyta; Magnoliopsida; Rosales; Rosaceae
Description: long non-coding RNA (MDOM_LNC015863)
Source: RNAcentral